GAGUUUGAUCUUGGCUCAGAACGAACGCUGGCGGCAGGCCUAACACAUGCAAGUCGAACGAACCAGCAAUGGUGAGUGGCGCACGGGUGCGUAACGCGUGGGAAUCUACCCUUGACUACGGACAACGUCGGGAAACUGACGCUAAUACCGUAUAAUGUCUCCGGACCAAAGAUUUAUCGGUCAAAGGAUGAGCCCGCGUUAGAUUAGGUAGUUGUGGGGUAAUGGCCUACCAAGCCGACGAUCUAUAGCUGGUCUGAGAGGAUGAUCAGCCACACUGGUACUGAGACACGGACCCAGACUCCUACGGGAGGCAGCAGUGGGAAUUA
This 326-nucleotide ribosomal RNA is filed under the name uncultured Alphaproteobacteria bacterium. RNAcentral's name for it is "bacterial SSU rRNA". It matches the Rfam family "Bacterial small subunit ribosomal RNA", at positions 9 to 363 of the family's 1533-position model. Lineage: Bacteria; Pseudomonadati; Pseudomonadota; Alphaproteobacteria. The record is from RNAcentral.